Molecule: long non-coding RNA, 3773 nt
Organism: Grus americana (Whooping crane)
Lineage: Eukaryota; Metazoa; Chordata; Aves; Gruiformes; Gruidae
Exons: 3
Source: RefSeq, a predicted model, not a curated record
GUCAUUAGGCUGAUUCAAUGCAAAUGACAGCAAAUAAAGUCAUAAUGGAAUCAGUUUUGACAGCUAACACAAUGCAUGUUUCUGAAACUUUUUAUAAGUAAUAGAAAAGCGUGACAGAGGUUAGCGUUUGUGGUAGGCACUUGUUUGCAACAAUAGCUGGUUUCACAACAAGUGAUAGGUCUGUAAGUAAUGGAAGCUCCGCCACUGCCACCUCUUUGCUUGCUCAAUUCAUUUUGUUGGCUCUUAUUUUUUAUCCGAUUCUUAUUCUUCUAUAUUUGCCUGGUGUCUCUUCCGACUAUGGUUACCUGCAUUCUUGCACAGUACCCACACAUUCUUUUCACCUCUUGCACCUUUUUUCUUGCAGAAGUAUUUGCCUUCUGCUGUGCAUCCUUCCAGUAAUGUACAGGCCCUUCUUGCACUCCCGUAUCUACUAGAUUAUGUGCAGGCAUAAGUGUUUUCUCCUCUUCUCUGCUCUUUUCCACUAUUUCCAAUCUCUGUGUCAAGUACCAUGUCCCAACAGCCCUUGUAGUUGCCAGCUAUCCCUGCAAGGUACUAAAUCUUUCUGACCCAUUUUAAACCUCUGCACAGCUGUCUCUUUCUUGUUGUCUUCAUUUUACCUUGCAAUUCUGAGUCAAAGAAAACAGACCAUAGUGUAGCUGCUUCUCAGAUGUACAAUUUUUGUUUGCCUUGGAAAUCCCUCUGUCUAUGAGUUGCAAAUAUUUUAAGUUUUAGUGAUUGGGUACACGGAGGCUCUCUUAUCUGGAUUAGACUCAGGUAAUAAGGUAGGGGCAGAAGACCCAUUCCUAAAAUCAAAAUCAUCCUCUUCAUUAUCAGUUUUCAGUGUACAUAUCUUUUAGCGAGCUCAUUCUCUGAGACUGGCCAUGUACACUCUUGCUCUAGCUAUUGUAAAGCCAAGGUUUAAGGUUUGUUUCUAAUUGUCACAGUAAUUGGCUGUUAACAUGGCUAUGAGAUUCAAAGGCAGCUGCUCAGGCUUGCUGCAAAGCAUCUUGAACUUCCUGCCUGGAAGUCUUUAGUAAAGUGUCUGUAGCUGCCAAUACCUCUGCGAAAGCCCAGUGAAGGGUCCUUUUCUUUCCUUCGCUUUACAUAAACAAAUUUCCUGCACUCCUGAAAUUCUACUCACAGUUUCCCAGUCAAAACAAUUUUCAGCCACCCAGGUGUUUUCCAUCCCUUAUCCUCUUGCCAUGUUUGCUGUUCUGCUGCUGCCUCAUCCUAAGCAUCCACAGCUUGUGUAUUUUACAGAAUCCCACUUUUGACACCAGCUACUGUCAUGACCUAAAGGAUUACCCAGCUGUUACAACCUUUACAUAACCACAGGCCAGAUAACUCUUUAGGUCAUGACAUUAAUGCCUCUUAGUCCUUUGCUCUCUUCUUUCCUGAGUUCUGGCCUCUGAUGGGAGCAGUGGAGCAGUUUCUGGCAAAGAAACAGGAACGGUCAGCUAAGCUGCUCUGCAAAACCAACAGAAAGUGUGACAACACGUAUUCAAGUGAACACAAAGCCAUCUUGGAAUCAGUGCUUGUGCCUUUACUUGCCACUACAUGGCAAUGGGCAACACUGCUAGAGCCUUUUACUGCCUUCUGGAGAGUGUGCCUGCCGACCUGCAUGUCUCCAACAGCAACAUGCAAGAGACAUGGGGCACAAGGACCAUUAGCAAGGAGAUUGCCUGAAGGAUCACUGGUGCCUGUGUUUGGAGCCAGUGUGACUGUGUCAGGGCGAGCACCACCAGGGGGAGAACCAGGCCCUCCUAAGAUGGAUACCAGAGGCAAUGGAGAAGGAUGGGGCUGGCCAUGGGCUCUGCACUCAUGCUCACCUGUUCUCUGCAUGCUUCCUCAAAGACCCUUCUGAAACUGAACAAAGUGGAGGUCCUGAGGAACUUCAUGGAGAAGAAAGCAAAUGUGAUAGCCUGCUUUGAAGAGGCCCCCUUCUUCAGUCUCAAAGAGGAGGUCUACUGUACUAUGGGAUGCAGAAACCUGGCAAAGAAAAUUAUCAGGGAUGCUCUGAGCCUGCUGAAAAAGCAGUUAUCCCAGACUUCCAUUGGAGCCUUUGUCAAAUCUUGGCUGGAAGAGCUGCAGUGGGCCUGUUUUGUCACAGAUGAGCACACUCCCUUCCACAGGAGGCUCAGUAAGAAGCAGAAUGGUGAACACAGAAGUGGAAGAGACAUUUCCUACCUGGGCCCAGGCCUGCCUAGGCUUGAGGCCACACCAAACCUGACACAUAGGCCUUAGCAGAACUGAGGCAUUAAGGGGUGAUGCAUGGGUAGAACAGGGAAUGGCAGAGCCCCACACAGAAGACACUGAAACAAAGCACACCUUUGGGUAAAAAGCAGCUUGUAGUGAGGGCUGCAUCUGUGCUGGCACAUGUUGGCUGUGGUGGGGACUUGAUGUUGGCUGGGAACUGAGAGCUAUAAACAGGGAGUACAGGCUGCAGAGGGGCAGGGAGCCUGGAAUUAGGACCAGGAUAUGGGGAGGGAGCAGUAGAUAGAGGUGAGGUGUGAGAAUGAGGAAACUCAUAGAGCAAUUUCCCUUUUCCUGCUGGUGCCCAGUUUUGCUUGCCUCCUGCUGGUGCUGUAAUGUCAACAUGCUCUCUCAAGUGAUCAACUUCCCCUGGUGGCAGUUCUUCAUUUGACCCCCUUCCACUCUGGCAGCCCUCCCUGCAUCAGCUCCCUUUCUCCGAAGAGGUGUAACUGUCUUGUCCACCGCCUUGCUUUCCCCCUACCCUGUCUGAUUUACAGGUAGUGCCUCUAGGCCCAGCAGUUUCUCUUGUGUGGCAGGAGGAAAAGACUGGCCUUGCUGCUGCAGCAGGGCUGCUGCCUUUCCUUACUGGAGCACCUCUUCAGCCUGGAGGGCACUUCCAGUGGAUGGAAGCUCUCCCACCUGGUGGCACUCGUGAAGGCCAACAUGGGCAAGGCAGCCAUAUGCCUUAUGACUAGAUUGAGCACAGCCCACUCAAUGCUGAAGAAAAAAUCUAAAUAAUUAGUCAAGAGUCUGCCUGUUAUAUCAUGGGACUUUUUCAGAAUGGAAACCUUGCCAAGUUAUUCCUAAAAAUUGAACUGGAAAGAUGAAGGAUGGAAAAUUUGGGGAAAGUUUGGGGAAAAGAACAAUGGGAAAAGCUGUAAUAGCUCAAACAAAGCAGGAUAGUGGAAACUCUCUUCAAAUAGGGCACAUAUCAAUACAUACAAAGGGCACAGAUUUAGGAUGCAGAUGGAAUUGUGGCACAGAUCAUUUGUCUAAAGAACCUAGAAAGAGCAAUUAUGUUGCUCUUUUGAAUAAUAUAUACUCUUUCCACCUCUAGUCUUGUCAUUCUGGGUUGGCUAUAUGUUGAGAAAUUCUUUUACCAAACAAUGAUUAGCUUUGCAUUUAACAAGGCCUAUGAGUGAUUAAUGUGUACAGAGAAGAUAUCCUAACCUGGAGAAUAGAAACAUCCUGGCAGGAUUGCCCAAACAGGGUUGAUAAGGAAGAACAGCUUGGCUGGACAACAGAGUUGGGAAACAUCCAAGGAGAAGAAAUUGCCCUCAAGACCAUAAAAGGGAAAAAGGAGGGGGGGGGCUAACUCCUGAAAUGACCACCGGAGACCCCCAUGCAUGCGUAGUGUAAUUUUGCAACGACAGCAUUAUAUAAAUGUAUAGAUAGGCGGAGAGGUGGAGACUUCUUGGAAAAUGUAUGAAUAUUCAUGUCUUUAAGGUAUAUAAAGGAUUAACUCUUGUUUUAGAGUAUGCACGAUAGGCGGAGCUAUCCCCCGUGCAUCCAGUGCCAUA